AGGGGUAUAGCUCAAUGGUAGAGCACUUGCCUGGCAUGUGUGAGGCCCUGGAUCCAAUCUCCAGUAGUACUA
This 72-nucleotide transfer RNA is filed under the name Marmota monax (woodchuck). It matches the Rfam family "tRNA". From Rfam's summary of the family: Transfer RNA (tRNA) molecules are approximately 80 nucleotides in length. Their secondary structure includes four short double-helical elements and three loops (D, anti-codon, and T loops). Lineage: Eukaryota; Metazoa; Chordata; Mammalia; Rodentia; Sciuridae. The record is from Rfam by way of RNAcentral.